GACGAACGCUGGCGGCGUGCCUAAUACAUGCAAGUCGAGCGAAUCAACAGGAGCUUGCUCCUGUUGAUUAGCGGCGGACGGGUGAGUAACACGUGGGCAACCCGCCUGUAAGACUGGGAUAACACCGGGAAACCGGUGCUAAUACCGGAUAAUCUUUUUCCUCUCAUGAGGAAAAACUGAAAGUCGGUCUCGGCUGACACUUACAGAUGGGCCCGCGGCGCAUUAGCUAGUUGGUGAGGUAACGGCUCACCAAGGCGACGAUGCGUAGCCGACCUGAGAGGGUGAUCGGCCACACUGGGACUGAGACACGGCCCAGACUCCUACGGGAGGCAGCAGUAGGGAAUCUUCCACAAUGGACGAAAGUCUGAUGGAGCAACGCCGCGUGAGCGAUGAAGGCCUUCGGGUCGUAAAGCUCUGUUGUUAGGGAAGAACAAGUACCGGAGUAACUGCCGGUACCCUGACGGUACCUAACCAGAAAGCCACGGCUAACUACGUGCCAGCCGCCGCCGUAA
Molecule: ribosomal RNA, 512 nt
Filed under: uncultured bacterium
Lineage: Bacteria
Description: partial 16S ribosomal RNA
Rfam family: Bacterial small subunit ribosomal RNA
Source: RNAcentral